This 459-nucleotide ribosomal RNA is filed under the name uncultured bacterium. RNAcentral's name for it is "partial 16S ribosomal RNA". It matches the Rfam family "Bacterial small subunit ribosomal RNA", at positions 338 to 795 of the family's 1533-position model. The record is from RNAcentral.
CCUACGGGAGGCAGCAGUGAGGAAUAUUGGUCAAUGGCCGGAAGGCUGAACCAGCCAUGCCGCGUGAAGGUCAGUGCCCUAUGGGUUGUAAACUUCUUUUAUAAAGGAAUAAAACGAGGCACGUGUGCCUUUUUGCAUGUACUUUAUGAAUAAGGAUCGGCUAACUCCGUGCCAGCAGCCGCGGUAAUACGGAGGAUCCGAGCGUUAUCCGGAUUUAUUGGGUUUAAAGGGAGCGUAGAUGGGUUGUUAAGUCAGUUGUGAAAGUUUGCGGCUCAACCGUAAAAUUGCAAUUGAUACUGGCAGUCUUGAGUACAGUUGAGGUAGGCGGAAUUCGUGGUGUAGCGGUGAAAUGCUUAGAUAUCACGAAGAACCCCGAUUGCGAAGGCAGCUUACUAAACUGUGACUGACAUUGAUGCUCGAAAGUGUGGGUAUCAAACAGGAUUAGAUACCCCUGUAGUC